Cannabis sativa is the source of this 1667-nucleotide long non-coding RNA. RefSeq lists it as uncharacterized. The transcript is spliced from 2 exons. The record is from RefSeq and is a predicted model, not a curated record. NCBI's taxonomy places the organism in Eukaryota, Viridiplantae, Streptophyta, Magnoliopsida, Rosales, Cannabaceae.
UAUGUAUGGGAUGUUGUACAUAGCAAGGGUUUAGUUAUAGAUAUUUAUUUAUUCAAAUAAUAUGAUUUAGUUAAUGGAAUUUAACUACUGUAAAUAGAAGCUUGAUUUGAGAAAUCCGAAGAUGCUUUUACACAACAUUAUUUUUGAAAUAUAGAGGAGAAAAGGAAAAUAGUUUUUCUCUUAAAAUUGUUCUUGCUCAUGUAUUGAGAACUCAACAAGAACAUCAUUAUAUACUUUAUCCUAAUAGCCCACACUAUUCCUUGUGUGUGGUGGAUCGAUUUAGAAGACACUGGUGUUUGUUCAAUUACAUCAACCAUAUCAUCUGGAGUUAAGGAUACAAUAUGCGAGAAGUUUCGAGGAUACCCUGAUAGUCUACAAGAGGUAUAUGUUCUAAACUUAUUAUUUCAUAUUUUUAUUUAAUGUACACACAUCUAAAUAUCUAUUGAGCUAUGGUACAAUGAUAAUCAGAUAAUAUGAAACUCUUCCACUGCGUACCUAAUUUAGUACCAUAAAACCAACUACAGGCCCCAUUGGGGAUGUCAAAAUGUAGGAACCAAAUAGAUAUGCCCCAUCCUCAGAUGUUGGUACCGAAGGUUAGUUGUGUGAUGAGAUGAAUUUGGGAGGUUCUGGUUAUGCCUCCAAUGUUUCUUUUGGUGUUUACAAUGCUCAGCAUCUUUUCCGAGAUUCAAUUGGCUCGACCAAAGAUUUUCCUCAACUGUCUUUCAGUCUUGAUGAGUUAUCGUGGUCUCAAUCUUAAAUGAGCCAAUUCUCCAAGGGAUACAACAGGUGCCUCGGAGAGUACACUCCUUCUUAAUGGAAUUGGUUGUAUAACUCUUCAACAGAAGAUUACUAGGAGGCAGCUUUCAAAUGCAGCAUAUGGGCUUUUGUCUUGCAGCAUUAUAACCCAAGCUCUAGUUCAUCUGUUGAGUGGGAUCUUUCUUGCCUUUAAAAAGUUCUAAAUGACUUUGUCGAGUCUAAUAACACGACCCACUCUAUGCGUAGGUUGAUCAUCUCCAAGCUGAGUUGAAGGAGAGCCAAUCCCUUGUGUCAAGUCUUACUCAGCAACUUAAAGAAUCUCUCUCCAUUCGUGAGAAGUAUUUUGCAAAUUUGCAAAUCUAACAAGAGAAACUCCAGGCACAGAUUAGCAAACUAUGUGUCCAUUUCCUCAUCUUAAAGACAAAGAUCAAGAGGAAGAGGAAGAAAAGAUUGAGCGCCCACUAUACGGUGUUUAGGUGAAGAAUCUUGGGGUCAAUUACAACAUCUUGGGCCCCUUUGCAAUUCAUAUCGUUGAGGUUUUCAAGGCUGAAUGUGGUGAAAAGAGUGUAGCAUGCCAAGGCAAGCAUCGUCGGAAUGCUAGCCUGUCGGGAAAUGGCACCUAGCAGCCUCUUUUUCGUGUGGAUGCAUUGUGUAGAGAGGCUUCAAAAUUUUCUUUAAUUUAUGCUUUUGAACUCUUAGAUGACUGUAAGACUUUAUUUUUACUUGUCCAUUUUACACUUGGGAGCUAGUCUUGGUCAAGUGGUUCUUCCUACUAUGGUGAGUAGAUUUUUUUGCUUUGCUUCUUAUGUAUCUUUAGUUUUAAAAAUUGAAGCUGGCCGAGUGACUCUUGGGAUCACUCUUUGGCCAAAUGACUUUUCCCACUAUGAUAAGCGGAUUUUGAUUUGAGAGAA